Molecule: ribosomal RNA, 311 nt
Filed under: uncultured eukaryote
Lineage: Eukaryota
Description: partial Bacterial small subunit ribosomal RNA
Rfam family: Bacterial small subunit ribosomal RNA
Source: RNAcentral
CUUACGGGUUGGGCUACACACGUGCUACAAUGGUGGUGACAGUGGGUUAAUCCCCAAAAGCCAUCUCAGUUCGGAUUGGGGUCUGCAACUCGACCCCAUGAAGUUGGAAUCGCUAGUAAUCGCGUAACAGCACGACGCGGUGAAUACGUUCCCGGGCCUUGUACACACCGCCCGUCAAGUCACGAAAGUUGGUAACACCCGAAGCCGGUGGCCUAACCCUUGUGGGGGGAGCCGUCGAAGGUGGGACCAGCGAUUGGGACUAAGUCGUAACAAGGUAGCCGUACCGGAAGGUGCGGCUGGAUCACCUCCUU